AACGAACGCUGGCGGCAUGCCUAACACAUGCAAGUCGAACGAGACGUCCGGGCCUAGUGGCGGACGGGUGCGUAAGGCGGGGGAAGCAGCCCUUAGGUUAGGAAGAACUGACCGAAAGGGGAGCUAAGACAGGAUAAUGUAAUAGGACAAAAGAUUUAUCGCCUUUGGAUGGGCCCGCGUUGGAUUAGCUAGUUGGUAGGGUAAAAGCCUACCAAGGCGACGAUCCAUAGCUGGUCUGAGAGGAUGAUCAGCCACACUGGGACUGAGACACGGCCCAGACUCCUACGGGAGGCAGCAGUGGGGAAUAUUGGACAAUGGGCGAAAGCCUGAUCCAGCAAUGCCGCGUGAGUGAUGAAGGCCUUAGGGUUGUAAAGCUCUUUUACCCGGGAUGAUAAUGACAGUACCGGGAGAAUAAGCUCCGGCUAACUCCGUG
This 433-nucleotide ribosomal RNA is filed under the name uncultured bacterium. RNAcentral describes it as "partial 16S ribosomal RNA". It matches the Rfam family "Bacterial small subunit ribosomal RNA", at positions 29 to 507 of the family's 1533-position model. The record is from RNAcentral.